GGCCGGUUGGCGAUCUUGGGAUCGAGCGGCUCGUCGAGAUCGAGGCUCGGCGCCUCGGGCGUCGGGGCCAUGGCCGGUUCGGCCGACACCGGCUCC
RNAcentral lists this transfer RNA (96 nucleotides) under Mesorhizobium sp. L-8-10. RNAcentral's name for it is "tRNA-Leu". The record is from RNAcentral. Lineage: Bacteria; Pseudomonadati; Pseudomonadota; Alphaproteobacteria; Hyphomicrobiales; Phyllobacteriaceae.